UUAGUUGCAUCUUGCCUCAUUAUAUGUAUUGUGUGUUCUGUUCAUUGAGUAUGGUCUGAAACGUGGUGUGCGAGAGUGUGCGUGUGUGUGUAAGAAAGAGAGAAAGACAUUGCCCCACAACGUACCCUCUCUAAAUUGUGUCCCUGCUUGGAAGUGUGUGGACUCUUUUCAUGAAGGAAUAAUUUUCUCCCACCAGCCCCAGCCAAGGUCAGGUCUCCAAAAGGGUGGCAUGCGUCCCCUCAGACAAUUUGUUUGUCCCCCAUCUGCCCCCCCCCACAUUUCUGUUUCAGAAAUCUAAUAUGUGAGACACAGCUUACCCACCCAUAAAUGUGCUUCGCCACUUCUGUGCCCACCUCAGUUUGUUUUUUCUGGUGCCACCACUGCCCUUGACUUUGAACACUUUUACAAAAGUAACCAUAUUUGCUUAUGCUACAGUCUUGGUGCCUUCACAGUAAUUUUGCACAUGGGACUCUGUUGAGUGAUCGAUACAGCAAUAAUUAUUAUUUUGUUUAGUGGUGCAACUUGAACGCCCAAACCUAACUUCACAUAUUACCAUUAGGAUUAAAAACUGAACCAUCCCCUUCUGAUUUUGUUUUCCAUGCACGUCUGGGCAACCGAGACAUUCGUCAGCUUCUUCACACCUUCUGAUUGGGAACCGAGGCUCAGAGAAAGCGAUUACCAAGACCCAAGGCCAUCCAGUAAUGUUGUGCCUGAGGAUAGAACCAGAGCAACUGAAGAUUCAAAGUUGGUUCAAGGGAUUGCUGACAAGUCCUGGCCUUGGCACAAGGAUGGUAUCAAGAGGUCAGCAUCAUCAGGCAUCUGCUGAAGUCCAUGCAGCUCUUUUCUACUCAUGCACCUGCCCUUUUCCUUUUGCUGGCAGUAGGGACUGGAUCUAGAGGCAGAGGGGAGAGCAAGUGAGGGAUGGGAAGAGGAAGAUGGCCCAGAGAGGGGCUUUUGCCUGCGGGCCUUUCAAAACCUGGAACUGGCACAGCUAUGUAAAUUGACACAAAAAGAAUCUACACAAAGAUUGCUGGGAGCUCUUACAGAUUAUUCAAUCAUUCAGCUGAAAAGGAAAUUUUGAACCAGGCUUAUGCAAGGAAGGAGAGAGCUCCUGUAUGUUCCUGCAGAAGAGAGAAUUUUGGCAAGGAAAACUUGUCAUGUUAUGCAGGGAUGAGAAAAACGGCACCUGCUGAAAUUCCCUUUGUCACUCUAACAAUGCACAAGUUGGGGUGUGUGUGUGCGUGUGCGUGCACGUACGUGCACCUGCACACAAAAGGACACUGUCCAAGGUCCCUUCCAACAUUCUAUGAUUCUAUGAACAUACGCAGUCCAUUUCUAAUACACUUGUGGCUUUGGUGAAAGUGAAUGCUAGUUUAGUGUUUAUACUCCUUUCUGACAAUGUUUAUUCCCAUGCAAUAUAAGUUCUAGUGAAGGUUUCAUCAGCACAAGAUCCCAGGUUUGAGAACUGUGAGAUUUUAUCACUGGAGGAGGCCAAGGCUGGUCUGGCUGGCCCUGUUGGUAACCCAGAUGACAACAACUUUCUCUGCCAUAAGGUACUAACUCCAGUUGAGGUUCUAGCCCAGUCUGUUGCAUCUGUACACAAAACCUAGGGAUUUUAGUCAUGGAAGAAGUGGUGGCAGCCAGCACUCUCAUACCUAUGGCAGCUGCUCCAAGGGAGGUUCUUGCUCAGCCUGAUGCAACUACACCUAGCAGCUCCAGUGAGAAUCUAGCAAGGCAGGGGAAAGGCCACAGCGGUCAGGCACAGAUGCCCCUGUAUCCAAUGGCAUCCCCCUGAGUGUGGGCUAUUGUUGAGGUGGUUGUUCAUGGGCAGCCAAUUUUAGGGAUAGCAGGACGAUUGUGAUGGCAUGUCUGACUUGGUCCAGCUCGGUCUGAUCAGGCUCAUGUGCUCACGGGGGGCAGUAGUAGGCUUUCUUGACCCUCAACAGUAUAGCCCUUGCAAUGCUACCUGUAUGGCUCUGUUUCUUGUGUGUCCAGUGGAAUGUUUAUUCAUUUCCUUUGCAUCACCCAAUGCCAUUUCAGAAGUGUUGUGGUCCAGGCCUGAUUUGUAUACUGAAUAUGCUCAUUAGCUAGCAUACAAGAUUAGGCCUAUCUCAUCGGUGUCACCAAGUGACCAAGUUCUUUUAUAUAGUGACCAUGUAGGAUCUGGGUGCAAGGAAGAAAGGAGAUCAAAGCAAUCCUAAAUGAUUCAAUGGGCUUUAUUGAGUAUAAAAGAAUAACAACAUCAAUCUAGCUGAGCAGAAAGCAGAACAUUCUAUCAAUAUUACUAACAGUAUUUCAACCCUAGCCAGCACCAAUAUUCACCCAGUGUUCCUAACUAACAUAUGUGUGUGUAUUAAAUCUUCCUAGAGCCUACAGGUGGAAAAAGGGGGAGGAAGGUAAGGAAGGCUGAGGGCUGGCAUGGUUUGGGGAGAUCAGGAAUUAGUAGAGGGACGAGGGGAAAGGAGAAGGGGAAAGGAUGGAGGGAUCCAAGGCUUGUGGGGUGGCAUAUUACCCAGAUCAGAGGCUUGAGAAUGGUGGAUCUUUCAGCUGAAGCUUUUGGCUGGAGACAGAAGCUUUUGGAUCAAGCAUGCAGUUUGCUCAGAGCACGGCUGAGAGUCAGAGCACCAUGGCUGGGGAAGUCUUGACUUCUCACUGCGCAGUGGAAGUCACAGACAGUUCCUGUCCAUGGAAAGAGUUCCUGCUUGUUGCCCCGCGGCUUAGCAGCAAACUCUGGGAUUGCUCGUGAGCAGAUCUUGCUUGUAGGCACAAGAUUGCUCGUUCUCUGUCCAGUAAGCCUGUUCUUUAUAGUUGUAUUUUCCUUUGAUCUCUCAUAGAGUCUAUUCAAAUCUCCUCAUCUUUUCCUGGGUCCCCAAAAGGGUGACAAUGCUGUUACCUUCUGGAUAAUGUCUUUUAAUUAUUCAGGAUAUUGGCCAGUCCAGAGAGAUCUUAAUCUCAUCUUCUGUUAGCUGCUAUCCUGAGGAGAGGACAUUGCUCAAGGCAAAUCUGCAUCUCUGAGUUGCAAAUGGGCAUCUUCUCUUGUCCCAGAUUUGCUAGCCUGAUACCAAAAGGUGUUAAAGUGUUAAGUAAGAAUUAAUGUCUAUAGGUGUUUUCUUUUGUGUGCAUUUACCUAUGUUGAAUUUCUAUAGAGAGCAAUUGAGUAUAGCAGAGCAAUAAUUGACAAGGAUUAACAUAGACUUCUUGCAACAGGAAAGGGGAGAUCAGCCUCUGGCCUCUUCCACAGACAUUAUCUGAUAGUGAGUCACAUUUUAGCAUUUGGAUUGUUCUGGCUUGGCUUUUGUGCUUCCUUGAGUACCCAUUUCACAAUACAAUGCUGGAUCGCCUCUUCCCUCACAGACCAGUUGAGAUCUGGGGUGUCAAUUCACCCUGAGCCCAGGCAUUAAUUCCUGUCUUAAUAAAAUUGGAACCAGACACAGGCCUGAAUUCCACAUACUUCUGGGCCGGUACCUCUGGAUCUAAGGUUGGGGUACAUGUGCCCCAACAGAAGCUGCUUCUGAAUUUCUUCCCAGUUUCCAAAAGGUUUACCCUGGGAUUCCUGUCUGGAAAGAUAAUCCAAAGGGAGCCCAGCCCGGUUUUGCACGUGCAUGUGAACCGUCGGGAUUGGGCCAGUCCCAGCAGCAACAGGGCAGCAAACCCGCCUAAAUAGCCACCCUUGAAAAUGAGGUGAAGGGAGCAAGCACUCCCUUAUGCUCAUUUUUUGAUCAUCUGGCAAGCAGACGCAGCUGCCAGACUGCGGGGAGCCUGGAGAGGGGAGGGUGGAUCCCCAUGAUGCACCACGCACUCACAUGGUGCAUCAUGGUAUUUCCAGGGGGCGGGGCGACACAUUCCGGCCCUGACCCUCCCUGCUGCCUCAGCGCACAGGGAAUCAUUUGGGCGCGUGGGGAGUGCGCCUAGCAAUGGCGCCUGGAUCGUCUGCAGGGAAGUUAGGAGUAACCCGCCUCCCCUGCAGUCUGCUCUGGAGCCCUUUUCAUGGAUUGUGAGACGAGGCUCCCUGGGUGCAUGGAACUAGUUUUUGCAAAGUUCUCUGAAUUCAUAUCUUAGUCUUUAUAAAUGAUCUGAGAUCUAUAGACUCUUCCAAAGGAUUACAUUUUGUGCAUAGCUAAAUCAGUCCUCUUAUUAAAGUGCUAUACUGUAUUCUAUUACUUUUAUAUGAAUUUAUCUUCUGUUUUCUCUUUAAAAGAAUCUUGUCUGUAUUUGAAUAUAAUUUGGUUUUGUCUCA
Molecule: long non-coding RNA, 4237 nt
Organism: Hemicordylus capensis (graceful crag lizard)
Lineage: Eukaryota; Metazoa; Chordata; Lepidosauria; Squamata; Cordylidae
Exons: 3
Source: RefSeq, a predicted model, not a curated record